RNAcentral lists this ribosomal RNA (492 nucleotides) under uncultured bacterium. Its description in RNAcentral is "partial 16S ribosomal RNA". It matches the Rfam family "Bacterial small subunit ribosomal RNA", at positions 29 to 507 of the family's 1533-position model. The record is from RNAcentral.
AGUGAACGCUGGCGGUAGGCCUAACACAUGCAAGUCGAACGGCAGCACAGUAAGAGCUUGCUCUUACGGUUGGCGAGUGGCGGACGGGUGAGGAAUACAUCGGAAUCUACUUUUUCGUGGGGGAUAACGUAGGGAAACUUACGCUAAUACCUCAUACGACCUACGGGUGAAAGCAGGGGAUCUUCGGACCUUGCGCGAUUGAAUGAGCCGAUGUCGGAUUAGCUAGUUGGCGGGGUAAAGGCCCACCAAGGCGACGAUCCGUAGCUGGUCUGAGAGGAUGAUCAGCCACACUGGAACUGAGACACGGUCCAGACUCCUACGGGAGGCAGCAGUGGGGAAUAUUGGACAAUGGGCGCAAGCCUGAUCCAGCCAUACCGCGUGGGUGAAGAAGGCCUUCGGGUUGUAAAGCCCUUUUGUUGGGAAAGAAAAGCAGCAGGUGAAUACCCCGCCGUUCUGACGGUACCCAAAGAAUAAGCACCGGCUAACUUCGUG